CCUACGGGUGGCAGCAGUGAGGAACAUUCGGCAAUGGACGAGAGUCUGAACCAGCCAAGUCGCGUGAAGGAUGACUGCUCUAUGGGUUGUAAACUUCGUUUAUAAAGAAGUAAAACGAGGCACGUAUCCCUUUGUGCAUUUACUGUAUGUAUCAGGAUAGCCUAACCACGGGCCAUCCGCCGCGGUAAUACGAAGGAUACGAGCGUUAUCCGGAUUUAUUGGGUUUAAAGUGAGCGUAGAUGGGUUGUUAAGUCAGUUGUGAAAGUUUGCGGCUCAACCGAAGAAGUGCAAUUGAUACUGGCAGUCUUGAGUGCAGUAGAGGUAAGCGGAAUUCGUGGUGUAGCGGUGAAAUGCUUAGAUAUCAGGAAGAACACCGAUGGCGAAGGCAGCUUACUAAUCUGUGACUGACAUUGAGGCUCGAAAGUGUGGGGAUCAAACAGGAUUAGAUACCCGAGUAGUC
RNAcentral lists this ribosomal RNA (460 nucleotides) under uncultured bacterium. RNAcentral describes it as "partial 16S ribosomal RNA". It matches the Rfam family "Bacterial small subunit ribosomal RNA", at positions 338 to 795 of the family's 1533-position model. The record is from RNAcentral.